GACGAACGCUGGCGGCGUGCUUAACACAUGCAAGUCGAACGGAAACGCCCUGCUAGUUUGGGGUUCUCGAGUGGCGAACGGGUGAGUAACAGGUGAGUAACCUACCCUUCACUUUGGUAUAACUUCAGGAAACUGGACCUACUACCGUAUAGCAUCCCCUGUUCCAUUGAGGGGGUUGGAAAUUUUCGCCUGGUGGGGUUGGACUCGCGGCUUAUCGGCUUGUUGGUGGGGUAGUGGCUUACCAAUGAUUUCACGGGUAGCCGGCCGGAGAGGGUGACAGGCGACACUGGGACUGACAUGAGGCCGAGACUCCUACGGGAGGCAGCAGUGCGGAAUACUGAACCAUGGGCGGCAGGCUGAUGAAGCAACGCCGCGUGCGGGAUGGCGGCCUUGGGGUUGUAAAACGGCUGCGCCUGUGUACAAGGGUGAGUGAAGGUAAUGGAUAGAGAAGCAACGGCCAACUACCGG
RNAcentral lists this ribosomal RNA (468 nucleotides) under uncultured bacterium. Its description in RNAcentral is "partial 16S ribosomal RNA". It matches the Rfam family "Bacterial small subunit ribosomal RNA", at positions 28 to 507 of the family's 1533-position model. The record is from RNAcentral.